Molecule: unclassified non-coding RNA, 209 nt
Filed under: plant metagenome
Description: partial contains small subunit ribosomal RNA and internal transcribed spacer 1
Rfam family: Eukaryotic small subunit ribosomal RNA (bases 1-46)
Source: RNAcentral
AAGUCGUAACAAGGUUUCCGUAGGUGAACCUGCGGAAGGAUCGUUACCGAGUUCGGUACCUCUGGUACCCACUCCCACCCUUUGUGAACUUAUUACCGUUGCUUUGGCGGGCCGCGGCCCUGCCGCCUCCGGCGCACGCUGGGGAGCGCCCGCCAGAGGAUCUCCAAACCCGUCAAUCGUGGAAUCUGAGUAAAUUUUAAAAAUCAAAA